RNAcentral lists this long non-coding RNA (690 nucleotides) under Vulpes vulpes (red fox). RNAcentral describes it as "lncRNA (ENSVVUG00000027738.1)". The record is from RNAcentral. Lineage: Eukaryota; Metazoa; Chordata; Mammalia; Carnivora; Canidae.
AAAUCUGACAUGGUUGAGGAGGGACUCAAAAGCCAGCUGUCCUUAAUAGAGUAGAUCCAUGAUUCUCAGGCUUUUGCCAGGACUUGAUACGUAACUUUCAUCUAGGUUCCACACAGCUACAAGCUAUGAUGACUUAAAGAAGCUUUGAAUUUUACCAGAAAACAAUAUGAACUCUAUCCCUUUCUUUCCUUCUCAAGAAUUCAUAUGAGCAUUGCAAUUCAUGCUGCCUCUUGAUUGACUCGCUGCCAGACGUCCUCUGCAAGCCCCUGAUGGAAUGUUUCAAAGGCCCUCCUGUGGGAAGUUGUUUGGAUCACACAUAUCACAAAAAGAGAAAAAAAUCAAGGCAAGCCUAGGCCAGCUCAUGGAUUUGAAGUCAUCAAACUAUAUAAUCAGAGAUGCUUAGAUUUAGAAGGAACUGUAGAGGUCAUAUCAAUAGAUAUACAUGGAAUGAAUAUUGGUCUAAUGCAUGAAAGAUCCAGUGAAUCUAAUAAAAGCCCUACUGAAUUGCCUGCUAUAUUGCCUGGAAUUGUUAUUUACUUUUCAUGUAUAUUAAUUAACACUUCUGUACCCUUCACUCAGUGUUUGCAUCAUGCCUUGUGUAUGGGACAUAGUUAAGGAGUCCUUGGUACAUCUUUAUUGAAUUUAUACUGUCAGAGAUAUCUGUGCUAAAUGGGGAGGAGCAGAUAUUCA